UAAGCCGGACGCCGCCUCUCCCUUCUUCUCUCUCGGUUCCAACCGAGCCACCGCCACCUCCUUCGUCGAGCCUCUUCUCCGUCGGGCACCAGCCACCGAGCUACAGCCGGCCGCAUCUUCUCUUCUCCGUCGAGCCACGACCUCCUUCUCCUCCUCACGCGAGCGAGCCAUAGCCAUCGGCCUCUCCCCCUUCACCGAACCUUUUCUCCCCAAACCAGUGGCAGCGCUGGUGCUCUUCUCUGUCGAGCCAUAGCACACAGUCUCUUCUCCUCACGCGAGCACCAGAGACUUCUUGCUGUGCCCUAAUUGAUCCGGUAAUAGGUAGAUGAGUCAUGGAUGCUUGGAGAGUCCCAGCUGCCAGUCCCACGACACAUUCGAGGAUAGUUUCUUUUCUGGUUUUGGUUGCUAACGCUAUUUAUGUUUUGGUUUUGUGAACUUGGUAUUGUAUGCUUCGAUAUGGAUUUUGGAGUCUAGUCCGGUGGUUGCAGGCAAUUUAGUUAGUGAUUUUGUCGGUUAUACAUUUGUUUUCUCUUUGUGAUUUUCGCUGCGUUUACAUCCAGCCGUGUAGGCUGAGUAUUUAUUGUUCUGUCUUCCGCUGUGUGUGUGUUUCGAUUUUGUUCCAACCAUUUAGGCUGAUGGUUAUAGAUGAUGGUUAUGGGUUAUUUCAUUUUUGUCCAGCCGGGUAGGCUGAGUAUAUUAAACUGCGUGUCAUGUUGUUUAUAUUUUGUAUAUAUAUUCCAGCCGAGUGUGGCUGAGGUAUAUUUUGUA
Zingiber officinale is the source of this 768-nucleotide long non-coding RNA. RefSeq lists it as uncharacterized. Lineage: Eukaryota; Viridiplantae; Streptophyta; Magnoliopsida; Zingiberales; Zingiberaceae. The transcript is spliced from 2 exons. The record is from RefSeq and is a predicted model, not a curated record.